ACAAAUCCUGUGCUGCAGUGCCGCAAGGCGCUGUAGUAUAUUAACUCGGCCAGUGUCGCAAGAUGCUGGCUGACUAAACAUAAAUGUGUGUAGUGUAGACAAUGUGUGUGUGAUUAAAUAGUAGA
RNAcentral lists this unclassified non-coding RNA (125 nucleotides) under uncultured fungus. RNAcentral describes it as "sequence contains ITS1". The record is from RNAcentral. Lineage: Eukaryota; Fungi.